GUCCUUGUAGCUUAAACAAAGUAUAACACUGAAGAUGUUAAGAUGGUUGCCAAACAACACCCGAGGACA
RNAcentral lists this transfer RNA (69 nucleotides) under Rhegmatorhina hoffmannsi (white-breasted antbird). RNAcentral describes it as "tRNA-Phe". It matches the Rfam family "tRNA". Rfam says of the family: Transfer RNA (tRNA) molecules are approximately 80 nucleotides in length. Their secondary structure includes four short double-helical elements and three loops (D, anti-codon, and T loops). The record is from RNAcentral. Lineage: Eukaryota; Metazoa; Chordata; Aves; Passeriformes; Thamnophilidae.